Molecule: ribosomal RNA, 374 nt
Filed under: uncultured organism
Description: bacterial SSU rRNA
Rfam family: Bacterial small subunit ribosomal RNA
Source: RNAcentral
CGUAGGGGGCGAGCGUUGUCCGAAGUUACUGGGCGUAAAGCGCGCGUAGGCGGGAAAUUAAGUGAGAAGUGAAAGGCUGGGGGCUCAACCUCAUGCAGUGCUUCUCAUACUGGUUUUCUUGAGGGCGGUAGAGAAAAGUGGAAUGGCUGGUGUAGCGGUGAAAUGCGUAGAUAUCAGUCGGAACACCGGUGGCGAAGGCGGCUUUUUGGGCCGUUCCUGACGCUGAGGCGCGAAAGCCAGGGGAGCGAACGGGAUUAGAUACCCCGGUAGUCCUGGCCGUAAACGAUGGAUACUAGGUGUUGGGGGUAUCGACCCCUCCAGUGCCGCAGCUAACGCAAUAAGUAUCCCGCCUGGGGAGUACGGCCGCAAGGUUG